This 239-nucleotide long non-coding RNA is filed under the name Elaeis guineensis (African oil palm). RNAcentral's name for it is "long non-coding RNA (EGUI_LNC000824)". Lineage: Eukaryota; Viridiplantae; Streptophyta; Magnoliopsida; Arecales; Arecaceae. The record is from RNAcentral.
CUAUCCUAAGCAAAAGAUCUUAUAAUAACCAGAAGAAAUGGCAAACCCUUGCAUUGGUUCAAAGAUAUGGAAAAACAAACUACUAAAUCGACCUAAAAUAAUAUGAUAAAAUAAUUUUUAUGUAAACAAAAUAAAAUAAAAAAAUAUUACAAAUUUUUAUUUAUCAAUAUAGAAAUAGAGAGUCAAAUUCAAUAAGUACCUUGGAAGAUAAAUCUUCUUAAGAAUUCUAGAUGAAAGUG